UGAAAUGUAGGGGCUGCAAAUUUCAG
Molecule: non-coding RNA, 26 nt
Filed under: Mus musculus (house mouse)
Lineage: Eukaryota; Metazoa; Chordata; Mammalia; Rodentia; Muridae
Source: RNAcentral